GAUGAAGAACGUAGCGAAAUGCGAUACUUGGUGUGAAUUGCAGAAUCCCGUGAACCAUCGAGUCUUUGAACGCAAGUUGCGCCCGAAGCCAUUAGGCCGAGGGCACGCCUGCCUGGGUGUCACACGUCGUUGCCCCCCCAUCUACUCCUUCGGGAUUGCGGGGGGCGGAUGAUGGCCUCCCGUGCGCCUCGUCGCGCGGUUGGCAUAAAUGCCAAGUCCUCGGCGACGCACGCCACGACAAUCGGUGGUUGCGAAACCUCGGUUGUCCGUCGUGUGCGGUCGUCGCGCAUCGAGGGCUCGAAAAAAUUGCCGGGCUCCGGCUCGGCUUUCAACGCGACCCCAGGUCAGGCGGGGUUACCCGCUGAAUUUAAGCAUAUCAAUAAGCGGAGGA
RNAcentral lists this unclassified non-coding RNA (391 nucleotides) under soil metagenome. RNAcentral describes it as "partial contains 5.8S ribosomal RNA, internal transcribed spacer 2, and large subunit ribosomal RNA". The stretch from base 1 to 122 matches the Rfam family "5.8S ribosomal RNA", at positions 35 to 154 of the family's 154-position model. The record is from RNAcentral.